AUUGAACGCUGGCGGCAGGCCUAACACAUGCAAGUCGAGCGAGCGGCGGACGGGGGAGUAAUGUCUGGGAAACUGCCUGAUGGAGGGGGAUAACUACUGGAAACGGUAGCUAAUACCGCAUACCAUCAGAUGUGCCCAGAUGGGAUGAGCUAGUAGGUGGGGUAACGGCUAACCUAGGCGACGAUCCCUAGGUGGGUUGAGAGGAUGACCAGCCACACUGGAACGGAGUCACGGUCCAGACUCCUACGUGAGGCAGCAGUGGGGAAUAUUGCACAAUGGGCGCAAGCCUGAUGCAGCCAUGCCGCGUGUAUGAAGAAGGCCUUCGGGUUGUAAAGUACUUUCAGCGGGGAGGCGUUACCCGCAGAAGAAGCACCGGCUAACUCCGUGCCAGCCGCCGCGGUAAUAC
Molecule: ribosomal RNA, 406 nt
Filed under: uncultured bacterium
Lineage: Bacteria
Description: partial 16S ribosomal RNA
Rfam family: Bacterial small subunit ribosomal RNA
Source: RNAcentral